This is a long non-coding RNA of Xiphophorus couchianus (Monterrey platyfish), 1026 nucleotides long. RefSeq lists it as uncharacterized. The record is from RefSeq and is a predicted model, not a curated record. Lineage: Eukaryota; Metazoa; Chordata; Actinopteri; Cyprinodontiformes; Poeciliidae. The transcript has 2 exons.
CAAGAAAGUUUUAAAGAAAAAAGUCUAAACAAAUUGAGUAUUUGAAUAAAACUCAAAGCAAAAUUACUUAUACUGAUAAUGUUUUCUCUUGAAAGAAUGAACAACUGUAACUUUAGUUUCAAACAAUAAGAAUAGUGGAUGAUUCCUGUUUUCUUGUCAGAAGAACACCUAUAAUUACUCACAUGAUGAUUAUAAUAAAAGUAACUAAUAAAGCAUGGUUAACAUAAUAUUAUAAAUGACUGCUAAAUCAGAAGCUAGAGAGGUUAUAGAUGUGAUUUUGAUAAUGAACUUUAAAUGAUGUAAAAUGUGUAACUGAAAUUAGAGAUCACUGAUGUUGUGUUGGAGGUAGAUAGUAGGUGAAGGUAUUAGGGAAAAUAGGAAAUAAAAGAAGAGCAGAGAUGACCAACACCUCAGAGUUAGCUGAUUUGGAUUUUGAUUGUUGCAACUCAAACUGUUGAAAGAAAAAGGUGGAAAACAUUUCAUAGAUUGCUUUUAGUCCAAAACUAUAUGUAAAACAGCACCCUUGGGACUCGCCGAAGUCACUAAACCCAACCUGAUUCAGUAACAAGUGCAGGUUGUAACAAAGAGAAAGAAUGACAGUUAACAUGUGUGGUCUGUGAAACUAGCUGUCUGCAGGCUGCUCAGUCUGACUAACUCACAGGGGGACAAAAGGUGAGGCACCUGGAUGGAGUUCUGGAAAGGGAAGUAUCCAGCAGAUUUUGAUUUGUGAUUGGUUUUAAGAAACCUUUAAGACACACCCUAACAUGUUGCACCUAAUUAAAUGGAAAUAGUAAAACUGGGUGCAGAUAAUUUUUUUGGGAGAACAAUCAAAAGCUCAUACAUUUAGCUUUUAUAACUGUUGGUAAAUAAGGAUUAAAUAAAUGUUGAUCUAACCUUUAUCUGGUUUUUGUGACUUUUUUGUACAAUUGUAGUGUUUAUUUUAACACUACCCUAACCCAUUGAUGGUGCAAUAAUACUCCCCCAACCAAAUAACACCAACAACAACAAAAUCCUAGAUAAAAGGGA